This 242-nucleotide long non-coding RNA is filed under the name Mytilus galloprovincialis (Mediterranean mussel). Lineage: Eukaryota; Metazoa; Mollusca; Bivalvia; Mytilida; Mytilidae. The record is from RNAcentral.
GCUGUGGGUUCUGAUUAAUUUUGUACUAUGUGUUCAAAACGGAUGUUGAUUAAAGAAGUUAAAAAUUGGAAGUCGAUUAGAGAAACCAAAAAAUGGACGUCGAUUAAAUAGGCAUAAAAUUGGCCGUCGAUUUGGAACGAUAUUUUAUUGUGACGUCAGAUUUGGACGUCGAUUUGAGAAACGGACGUCGAUUAGAGACCGGACGUCGAUCUGAGUCUUACAUAUAUAUAUAUAUAUAUAUA